Molecule: long non-coding RNA, 734 nt
Organism: Hypomesus transpacificus
Lineage: Eukaryota; Metazoa; Chordata; Actinopteri; Osmeriformes; Osmeridae
Exons: 4
Source: RefSeq, a predicted model, not a curated record
UGACCAGACCUCCCAUUUCCACAUGAAAGGCUCGUUGGGAACACAGUGCAUUCAAGAGUCUUAAAAGAGUAUCAACAACAAUUGCCUUCUAUUCUUAGACUGGCAAGCUUGCUCAAUCAGCCCCCUUAUCACAGGCUAAAAAUGCGGCUCUCUUUACAUAAACAACACUUCCUUGUCAUUUCCUCCUCGUUGAAUGCACCUGACUUUAACCACAGCGACUCAAGCUCUGCAGUCAAUUAUUUAGUCCAUUAUCUCUUCAUUAUAGGUGUAACUUCAUCAAUGACCUGUUUGCUCCUGCUGUGGUGAGAUGCGAUGAUCGGACUACACUGCGCGUAUACUCCGUUGGAGAAACUAAAGAAACUUCAAUUAUACACAGGGGAGGAGUCAGACGCUCAUGUGCUCUGCUAUUGGAGGACUGCUGGGUGAUUGGCGAAUACAGCGAAUGUAUAGGAGCAGACCCACUCCUGGAGGUAUGAUGCUGCUCUCUGACUCUGAAUGGGUGUUCAGAUCCCUGGUGGUCUCAGACACAAUACAACUCCUGCCUGGUAGUUGCCUAUUUCCCCUUGAAAACCAAGAAACCAAGAAGAAAUUGGUUCACACUUUGGCUGGUCAUUAGGGCAGUGGAAUUUUACCGAUGCACAUUUCUGGCCCCUUCUGUCACAACCAUCGAGGAAAACAACGCAUAGAAAAUGUGGAAUGUUUAUCUAUUAAUCUUUAAUAAAUCCAUCACUUCC